This 431-nucleotide ribosomal RNA is filed under the name uncultured bacterium. Its description in RNAcentral is "bacterial SSU rRNA". It matches the Rfam family "Bacterial small subunit ribosomal RNA", at positions 340 to 762 of the family's 1533-position model. The record is from RNAcentral.
UACGGGAGGCAGCAGUGGGGAAUAUUGCACAAUGGGCGAAAGCCUGAUGCAGCUAUGCCGCGUGUAUGAAGAAGGCCUUAGGGUUGUAAAGUACUUUCAUCGGGGAGGAAAAACAAAACUAAUAAUUUUAUUUCUUGACGUUACCCGAAAAAGAAGCACCGGCUAACUCCGUGCCAGCAGCCGCGGUAAUACGGAGGGUGCUAGCGUUAAUCAGAAUUACUGGGCGUAAAGAGCACGUAGGUGGUUUUUUUAAGUCAGAUGUGAAAUCCCUGGGCUUAACCUAGGAACUGCAUUUUGAAACUGAAAUACUAGAGUAUCGUAGAGGGAGGUAGAAUUCUAGGUGUAGCGGUGAAAUGCGUAGAUAUCUGGAGGAAUACCUGUGGCGAAAGCGGCCUCCUAAACGAAUACUGACACUGAGGGUGCGAAAGCGU